This 475-nucleotide ribosomal RNA is filed under the name Pseudomonas sp. NN018604. RNAcentral's name for it is "bacterial SSU rRNA". It matches the Rfam family "Bacterial small subunit ribosomal RNA", at positions 30 to 496 of the family's 1533-position model. Lineage: Bacteria; Pseudomonadati; Pseudomonadota; Gammaproteobacteria; Pseudomonadales; Pseudomonadaceae. The record is from RNAcentral.
AUUGAACGCUGGCGGCAGGCCUAACACAUGCAAGUCGAGCGGCAGCACGGGUACUUGUACCUGGUGGCGAGCGGCGGACGGGUGAGUAAUGCCUAGGAAUCUGCCUGGUAGUGGGGGAUAACGCUCGGAAACGGACGCUAAUACCGCAUNCGUCCUACGGGAGAAAGCAGGGGACCUUCGGGCCUUGCGNUAUCAGAUGAGCCUAGGUCGGAUUAGCUAGUUGGUGAGGUAAUGGCUCACCAAGGCGACGAUCCGUAACUGGUNUGAGAGGAUGAUCAGUCACACUGGAANUGAGACACGGUCCAGNCUCCUACGGGAGGCAGCAGUGGGGAAUAUUGGACAAUGGGCGAAAGCCUGAUCCAGCCAUGCCGCGUGUGUGAAGAAGGUCUUCGGAUUGUAAAGCACUUUAAGUUGGGAGGAAGGGCAUUUACCUAAUACGUAAGUGNUUUGACGUUACCGACAGAAUAAGCACCGG